Molecule: long non-coding RNA, 557 nt
Organism: Bufo gargarizans (Asiatic toad)
Lineage: Eukaryota; Metazoa; Chordata; Amphibia; Anura; Bufonidae
Exons: 3
Source: RefSeq, a predicted model, not a curated record
ACAUUUCCUGCACACUCAGCAUGGCGUGUAAACACAGACAUUAGAUUUCUGACCUUAAAGGAACACGCCAAAGAAAUGAUACUCUGUGUAAUACUUACUGCUGGCCCUAAAGCGGGUGUGUGGAUCUGUGAGUCAUGCACUGCCCCUCCGGUCCUACAAUAGACAUAAUAUACCGUACGGCAUUGGUUUUGCCGGGAAUGUUUCUUUAACAGAAGUCCUGUUCAUACAGCGCAGAUGAACCACACUAUUAUCAGGACACUGCAUAUAAAUAAUUUGGGAAGGAAUCUUUUAAUGAUGAUGACCCAUUAACCUAAUUCCAAAUUAAAGGAUUGAGACAUGAGUCAACAUAUAUGAGGUAUCUUAUAACUAAAGGAUUAAUCAAGAAUUUGGAUCAAGGAAGUUUGAAUAUUUGCAACCUAAUGUAGAAUGUAUGGUAAAUGUCUGUUUUAGACAACCGUGCCUAACAGACACUUCUGCCGGGUUCUGGCCGGAUGUGGCCACUUCCAUUCGGGACAUAGGCAAGUUACUAACAAAUACAGAUUAGCUGAAAUGACCAG